Molecule: long non-coding RNA, 2508 nt
Organism: Asparagus officinalis (garden asparagus)
Lineage: Eukaryota; Viridiplantae; Streptophyta; Magnoliopsida; Asparagales; Asparagaceae
Exons: 11
Source: RefSeq, a predicted model, not a curated record
UAAACGCGUAGCGUUCUCUCGACGCCAAAAAUAAUUAAGCAAAUUCCCCCUUUAAAUUUAGGCUCUCGUCGUCUCGUUUACUCGUCUCAUCCUCAUUCGCCCUCCUCUUCAUUGUUGCAGAGAGCUAAUUUAGGGCUUCAUUUUCUCAUUUUUAGGGUUUUUUUUUCAAUCCUUUGUUCCGUCGCAGGUUUGGGUUUAUGUUAAAAUUGAGAGGGAUCGUACACUCGGGAUGGCAUUUGGGUUUUUACUGUUGAAGGAAAAAAUUGGACUGCGGGAAGCUAUUUGACAUGUAUCUUCAUCAAGGAAUUCGUAGAGGCUUUGGAUUCAGGGCAAAGAUGAGAAAAUGUGAGAAGAAUUGUACAAUAAUCAGGUACGAUCAAGGAGAAGUUGGAUAUCUUCACAAAGGCCUGGAUUUAAGCAAAGAGCUUUUUUUUUACAAGUUAGUUGCUAAUUUAAACUUCACAGAGUGGUGCGGUUGUUUCUUUCUUUACUGGGUGAUCGAGGAAAGAUGAUUUUUUUCAAGAUACCAUUGGUGAGAAUUUGAUACCGGGUGGCAUUUUCUGACCUUCGUCAAGUUUUUUUUGCUGAAGUUGGCUUCCAAUGUUCAUCUCUGAGAAUUCAUCAGAUAAUAUCCUUAUGCGUAUACACUCUGACUUUGAUAAGGUGAAGGCCACUCUCAGGGAUCGGUGAAGAUGAGGGUCAAGCAGGGUGAUGACCGAAAUAACCAAGGGUGAAGCAAUCAGAAGCCCAACCGAGUUCUAUACUUUUCAAGAGAAAGUAGCCGAGAUAUCCUGCGUUGUAUGUAUUAGUCUUCUUAUUUUCUUGAGGAUUUUUGUCUAGCUGAUUGAUCAGUAUGUCUUUGUUUUAGAAAGGAACAGUCCUGGAUUUAGGAGGAAGCCAAAGAAGCUUGUUUAUAAUUGUGUGCACUUUAACCAAGUGCUCUUUUAUGAAUAUGGCAAGAGAUUGGGGAAACUAUUGGCUGAGUCUUGUGAUUUAUAUUGUAAUUGCUAUCUGUAUAGAGACAAUUUACUUCAAACCGGGGUACAUUAUGCAACUCAAUUCUGGUACUAUUUUCAAAAGUACGUCAUUAUUUGAGUCAAUAUGCCUUAUAAUUCAAAUUAAAGAACUAUAUAGAUCUCUUCAUUUGAAUAUAUGAGGGUCACUAAUUUUAGAUCCUAUACUCGACUUUUAGAUAAAUUCAACUAGUAUUACAUUUUCAACUGAAAUCCUUCAGAUUGCUAUUUAACACAGGUUUUUCGGAGAGAGGGGUUCAAUGGCCCUGAUCGUUCGGCUGCAUUUGUCAUUAGCAGAAUCCAAUGGCAUUGCUUGAAGCAUUUUCCAUUUUGUCACUACAGGCAGGGGCUUUUCUUGGCAUUACCAGGGUCGGUUUUGCAAUGAAAGUAGGAGCAUGACAUUAUGAUAAUGUUUCAUGGAGAAUUGGACCUUUCCAGUGUUUGUUCGAGGAUUAUCUGACUGUGCGCUGCUGCGGACUAAGGGGGAAGAAGGAUGAGGCAAUAUGUGAAGGUUUCUCAAUACUGAUCCAUUUCUGACAAUAAACUGAUAAGGACCCUAAGCUUUGGAAUUACAGACAAUGUCUGAAAUGAUGAUCCGUGCAGUUGCUGAUGAUGAUGUUCGCUUACUGCUAACAAUUUAUCACAAAAUGGAGAAGUUGAAUGAAAAAUCCACAUGGCAUCUCGCAGUGCGUGAAUCCCUCAACAAUAGAUGCUUUCUGCAUAAGUGAUAAUAACAAUGCAGAUUGGCCAUCUCUAUGCCACCUGCCAGAUUUUCAAAGCAAGAGGUGUGAAAUCUGGAGAAUCUGGAAUUUUGUACCUGUAAAUUUUGCUUAUAAAGAGUUGGAGAGUAUGGAGCUUGCUUUGAAGAUUGUGAAAGAGAAAUUGCUGGGUAGAGUUAAUGGAGUCAGUUAUGCUAUAUGUACAUUUUGAAGAUUUGUGUAAUUUUGAAGAUUUGUAACAUUUUGUAAAGUCUGGAGCUUGCCUUGAAUAUAAUAUCAGUUAUAUUAUGUACAUUUUAAAGAUUUGUAACAUUUUUGAAAGCCUGGAGCUUGCCUUGAAUAUAUUAUCAGUUAUGCUAUGUUUUUUGUGAAGAUUUGUAACAUUUUAAAAACUCUAGAGCUUGCCUUGAAUAUAUGAUUAGUUAUGCUAAGUAUAUUUUGAAGAUUUGUGUAAUUUUGGAGUUUGAUUUGUAACAUAUUGUUUCAGAUUGUAAGUUUUUGAAAGUAGAUAAUGAAAGUGUUGUUAGUGCAAUAUCGUUAUUGUUUGUGCAAUUUUGGAGUUUGUAAGACUGGAAUUUUGUGCAAUUUUGUGAGUGCUAUUUUGUGGAAUUUUGUGUAAUUUUAUGAGUGUUAUUUUGUUCUUGUGCAAUUUUGUGAGUGCAACCAAGUGUGAUAAACUGCAGAUCUCUUUGAUUGUAAGUGUAGCGUGAUAAAUUCAAAGUGUAGCGUGAUAACCUGUAAGUGUAGCGUGGUAGACUGUAAGUGUAGCGUGAUAG